Molecule: long non-coding RNA, 4569 nt
Organism: Pantherophis guttatus
Lineage: Eukaryota; Metazoa; Chordata; Lepidosauria; Squamata; Colubridae
Source: RefSeq, a predicted model, not a curated record
CCACCACCGCCGCCGCCCGACAUCCUUCUCGGCCGUCCUCCGGGUUUCUCGCAGCCGCCGACACGAACGGGAGGGCCCGUGACGGCCCGGCAACGGAGUUCCCGGUGAAUAUGUUGGGCCGCUCAGGUUCUAUAAAGACCCGGAAAGGCUGCUUGCAAACAACCUGCCGUGGAGUCGCUGGAGAAUAAAACAGGCACAAUGUGGAGAACCGGACGGUGCUGGACUUGAGUUUAAAGUAGUCUCUUUAAUUGUGCUGGAACCUUGUUCAGAGUUGUUGGGCAUAUCCAUUUCCAUCAUUUUUCCACAAGAAAAGUCUGGUUUGGAAUAGACCGUGGAAUGAAAUUUCUUGGCGACGAUCCUCACUACACCUGUCCGGUUAAUCCGGUUGAAUUUAGUGAGGUCUGUUGCUGAAUGCCUGCUUUUAAUGUCCCAGGAUUUAAUAAUUUCAUUGAACCCAAGAUAGGCCGGGGAAGUUCUGGCGGUCAUUUGAUGUUACUUUUUCUCUUGAUCAAGCCUGCUUUCUUCCUAAAACAGAAAGAAUUUCAGAAAAAAAUACAGGAAAUCCUUCAUGAAAAAAUAUGCAAUUUUUGAAUGCGAUGAUUAUAAAGUGUAGCUCCUACUUCUGUAAAAUAGCCAUAGGACUUAGUUUUAUAUACCGCUUCACAGUGCUUUACAGCCCUCUCUAAGCGGUUUACAGUAUCAGCAUAUUACCCCAACAAUCUGGGUCCUCAUUACCAAUUUAACAUUAUUAUAUGAGUAAAUAAAACUGGUCUACAAAGUGGAAAAUACUCCAGAUUUCCUAAUAUAUAUAUAGAAUAAACUGAUUUGGUACUUCGUAUUGAUUAACUUCAGAAAGCUUAUUUUAGUCUUACUGUGGGAAAUGGAUAGGCAGCAGGUGCCUUGGCCCCCCCAAAAAUGAAUAAAGUGUUAUGCUCACAGAUGCACAAGCAAUAUAAUAUAAAAAGCAGCUGAGGGACUGACUUUUUUGAAGUUACAUACAUGCUUAGCCAUUAGCUACCUAAUGAAUGAGCAUGUAUGUAAGCAAGAUGAUAUACAUGCCCUUCCUCUGGGCAUGUUUGUAGAAUGAGUCAUCACCUUCAACAGUAAAUGAGAGAGAGUAGAAAAACCUAUAGUCAUUUGUACCCAAUUUAAUUAUUUACAUUUGUUAGAGGGCAGAUUGAAAGUCCAAAUGAUUAAAUUGCUUAACAAAGUAAUCAGUGGUAUGUUUAAGUUAACUAUGAUCCUUUCUUAGACGUAUGACUUGGAAUUCUGAGUUCCGGUCACUUCUAUCAUUGUUCUGGGUCUAUAUCUUUAAGUACUGAGUAAUUAAAGUCUGUUGAUAUAAAGUCAGGUUAAACAAAUGCCAACUCAUUAAUUUGAUUACUUGAUUGUUAUCAAAUUAAUAAAAUGGUUAUACAAAUAUAGAAAAGUUAAGAAUGGAUUUCUCUAAGCAAAAAAACUGGCCAAAUUCCAGGAAUGCUUGAGUUUCCAAAGAGUCCCAUCUGUGCACCAAUUGUUCAUCAAUUAAUAAUGAAUUUAGUUCCAUGUUAUUGUGACUUGGAGAAAUAUAUAUGUUCUAUAUUUUAUCAUAUAAAUUUUAUGUUGCAAUUAUCAACUUUAAAAUUACUGUAUUUUUCAGUGUAUAAGAUGCAUUUCCCCCUCCAAAAGUAGGUGAAAAUGUCUGUGCGUCUUAUAGAGCUAAUGUUGCCGGAGCCCCGCUGGCCCCCACCCUUCGGUCCCUGCUUCCCAGUAAUGGGAGGCCUGGUCAACUUCAGCACAGCCUGAUUUAGCAUGAGCAGCUGAUUGGCGGUUGGAUCGGCCUCCCUGAAUACUCCCUGAAUACUGCCUAACAGCUGUUCCACACUGCGAGGAUUGCCACCCCCCUUUGCUGACCAUCGCAGCCUCCAUUUUCAGCCUCCGUGCAUCCCAUUUUCAGCCUCCGCAUGCCCCAUUUUUGGCCCGUUCCAGGCAGCGGGGAUAGGCAAUCCCCACCAACUGGAAUGGCCUGAAAACAGGGUGCACAGAGACUGAAAAUGAGGUGCGAGGAGGCCGAAAAUGGGAGCCAUGUGGAGGCGGUGAUAGGUGGUGUGGCAAUAGCAGCUAUGGAGGGUGACAAUCCCCACAGCCUGGAACAGCUGGUAGGCGGUAUUCCGGGAGGCAGAUCCAACCGCCAAACAGCUGCUCAUGCUAAAUCAGGCUGUGCUGAAGCUGACCAGUCUGUUUGCUGUUUGAUGCAAGGAGGCAAAUUGCUGGGAGGCAGAAACAGAGGCAGAUUUUUUUUUUCUUGUUUUCCUCCCCAAAAGCUAGGUGUGUCUUAUAGUCUGGAGCGUCUUAUAGUCUGAAAAAUACAGUAUGUGUUCCGGGAUGUGGAGACCUGUAAUGCAUUGAUUUUGGAAAGCAUUAUCCUGAGAGCUUUUUACAUAAUAAAUUGCAAAGAAUUCAUUUAUGGAUGCACAGAAUUUAUUUCCAAUUUCUUGAUAAUUGUCCUUUUGUCUUCUGUUAAGCUUGUGCUUCUGAUAGCGACCGAUUUCUUUCCCAUAAAAUAAAUGCUAGGUCAUCGUUUUAAAAAGACUUUUCAUAGAUUCCCUCCUAUACUGGAGUGUAAAACUAGGUAGAUUUUUUUUUUAAUUGGGCAAAGUAGUGGCACAUACAAAGAUGAACAUCGAACAAUUGAAAGAAGCUGUGCUUGACAGGGUAGCAUGGAGAGCACUUGCCUGUAACAUCGCUAAGAGUCAGACCCAACUAAAUGGUUAAAAUAAUAACGGUGGCAAAGAUAUAUCACCAAUUAAUCUUCUGCCUUCUUUCUCAUCCAAAUAUAUUUGAAAAUGUUGGGAUUUUAUUGUAGAGAUAUCAAAACAGUUAAUAUUCAGUAUUGUUUUGACUGCACAGUUGCUUGAUACAUUUAAGUGUUUUCGCUGUAUUUUUAAUCAUAUGUCAGGUAUAUCAAACUCCCUUUGACUCAAAGCUGAAUAAAUUGGUUCCACUGCAACCCUCCACAUGAGUCAGGGCAGGGGAGAGUUUUGCCUGAGGCCUAUGCUUAAGAACUUGGCAUACAGUCAUGUGCCUUUGAAGAGGCCACAACAAGGUAUUUACCAUGUAUUUUCACAUAACCAGCCAGAAUGAAAGAGCUCAAGUGCAUCACAUUCAUAUAAUAGCUAGAUACAUACGUUGUUAUCAGCAUAAGCUACCAGUUCCAGUUAAAUGCUAGUGGUGUGCACCUUAUCUUUACCCUUGUUAUGACUAUAUUUUCCCUCAGGUCCUUGGAAAAUAAGGAAAAUCUAAGCCUAGAAAUGACAACUUUGCUGAUGAUGAAGAUCAGAACAAUGAGAAAAAAACAAGACCUUUCCAUUUUAAAUGCAGCAGAGAAAAGAUCCUUAUUGCUUGAAAGCAACUAUUCACUAUUGCUUGAAAGUCAAAAGUCUACAUUGAUUUACUCAAAUCCCGUAAGAGUUCCCUGUAAUCUAAUUAAUUUCCUCUUUUUAAUUGUUGUACAGGAAAAUUAAACGUUUGCUGAAUACUACUAAGUAGUUAAAAUUGUAUUUGAUUUGGGAUGAGAUUAGUCAGAAAUCCUUUACCAAUGAAGGUAUUCUAAUUAUAUUUUAAACCUUUAGUAACAGUUCUGCAAAUAAGUCACUCUUAGAAACUGUGAGAUGUUUAUCAUCUUGUCUCUCUUAUUUUUCUUAAAAUGAAUGUUCAAAUAAUAGGACAUUGUCAAAGGAAGAGCAUAGUUAUGCUUUAUCUUUUAACACUAGUCAUCUGCUUAUACAUUGACAGGAAUUGAAUGAUAAUGGGAAAUUAUAUUGAUAGACAUUAGCAGUAUCUAAUAGACUCCAUAGUAAUUUUGGCCGUUGAUAACAAUUUAACAACUAUGCUAUCUUAAAAACACCUGUAUUUGUUUCAUGCACACGUUUCAUGGUUAAGGAAAGGUUUCUACAACAAAGGUAGAAUUUCAUAAAAUAUAUCUAGAUUGCAUCCUCCCAAAAUAAUGAAAUAAUAAUAUUUAUUGUUAAAAUGAAUAUGCUCCAACAUACUGAAAAGCUCUAAGCCAGGGGUGUCAAACUUGUGACCUCAUGGCAGCGUUGCAUGACAUAUUGUGGCUUUUUCCCCCUUCGCUAAAUUAGGCGUGGCCAGCGUGUGACGCAUCCAGCCCGCGGGGCACGAGUUUAACAGCUCUGCUCUAAGGUGUAUCAAUUGAUGGUUUUAUCUGAUAGGAAGUAUUUUUGCAAAUUAAGAGUAUCUCAAUUUUGACCAAUCACAACCCCUUAAAAUCCCCAUUUCCUUCAGGUUUUUUGGUGGGCAGUGGUUGCGGGGGAGGGGAAGGUAAACAGCUUUUUGGAACAAAAUGAUAUAUGAUAUGGAGGAUUCUAUUAGAUAGAAUUACAGGGGAAAAACCUCUACCUUACAGAAAUGGUUGAAUUUUCUUUGAACAAUUGUUUGUUUCUGCAAUAAAAACUCAGAAAAGGCAUUAAUAACUGUCUUCAAAGUUAUUAGAACUUUGAAAGUUCAAUUCAAAUAAUAGUUGUAUCUGAAAUUAUUAAAACCAAAAAAAUAAAAGUCAAGGAGCUGUCA